UACGAAGGGGGCUAGCGUUGCUCGGAAUCACUGGGCGUAAAGGGUGCGUAGGCGGGUCUUUAAGUCAGGGGUGAAAUCCUGGAGCUCAACUCCAGAACUGCCUUUGAUACUGAGGAUCUUGAGUACUGGAGAGGUGAGCGGAAUUCCCGGUGUAGCGGUGAAAUGCGUAGAGAUCGGGAGGAACACCAGAGGCGAAGGCGGCUCACUGGACAGUUACUGACACUCAACUACGAAAGCGUGGGGAGCAAGCAGG
RNAcentral lists this ribosomal RNA (253 nucleotides) under uncultured bacterium. RNAcentral's name for it is "partial 16S ribosomal RNA". It matches the Rfam family "Bacterial small subunit ribosomal RNA", at positions 524 to 776 of the family's 1533-position model. The record is from RNAcentral.